GAAUCCGAGUGAGGCUCUGGGUCCACCUCCCACCCGUGUUUAUUUUACCUUGUUGCUUCGGCGGGCCCGCCUUAACUGGCCCCCGGGGGGCUUACCCCCCCGGGCCCGCCCCCCCCGAAGACACCCUCGAACUCUGUCUGAAGAUUGUAGUCUGAGUGAAAAUAUAAAUUAUUUAAAACUUUCAACAACGGAUCUCUUGGUUCCGGCAUCGAUGAAGAACGCAGCGAAAUGCGAUACGUAAUGUGAAUUGCAAAUUCAGUGAAUCAUCGAGUCUUUGAACGCACAUUGCCCCCCCUGGUAUUCCGGGGGGCAUGCCUGUCCGAGCGUCAUUUCUGCCCUCAAGCACGGCUUGUGUGUUGGGCCCCGUCCUCCGAUCCCGGGGGACGGGCCCGAAAGGCAGCGGCGGCACCGCGUCCGGUCCUCGAGCGUAUGGGGCUUUGUCACCCGCUCUGUAGGCCCGGCCGGCGCUUGCCGAUCAACCCAAAUUUUUAUCCAGGUUGACCUCGGAUCAGGUAGGGAUACCCGCUGAACUUAAGCAUAUCAAUAGGACGGAGGAAC
This 558-nucleotide ribosomal RNA is filed under the name Penicillium chrysogenum. RNAcentral describes it as "eukaryotic LSU rRNA". The stretch from base 177 to 329 matches the Rfam family "5.8S ribosomal RNA". The record is from RNAcentral. Lineage: Eukaryota; Fungi; Ascomycota; Eurotiomycetes; Eurotiales; Aspergillaceae.